Non-coding RNA from Pelobates cultripes (western spadefoot toad), 233 nucleotides. The record is from the annotation of a GenBank genome assembly. NCBI's taxonomy places the organism in Eukaryota, Metazoa, Chordata, Amphibia, Anura, Pelobatidae.
AGCAAUCUAAUCUUUUAUGUUAUCCACUGUCAGUUUUCCCGAUCAUGAUUCUAUUUUAUCUGGGGUCUGCUGUGGACUUCCCAGAUACUCUCUGACAAGCCAGACACCUAUUUGAUCCUGCUGUACUUAGAGCCACACAGACAGAUUUACAUUACUUUGAGCUUGACUAGUUAUAAGAUAUAGCCAUUCUGUUGCCACUUGGCCAGUACGACUAGGGUUACCUUAUUGCAUCU